UACGUAGGGCGCGAGCGUUGUCCGGAAUUAUUGGGCGUAAAGAGCUCGUAGGCGGUCUGUUGCGUCCGCUGUGAAAACUCGGGGCUUAACCCCGAGCCUGCAGUGGAUACGGGCAGACCAGAGGUAGGUAGGGGAGAAUGGAAUUCCCGGUGUAGCGGUGAAAUGCGCAGAUAUCGGGAGGAACACCGGUGGCGAAGGCGGUUCUCUGGGCCUUACCUGACGCUGAGGAGCGAAAGCGUGGGGAGCGAACAGG
RNAcentral lists this ribosomal RNA (253 nucleotides) under uncultured bacterium. RNAcentral describes it as "partial 16S ribosomal RNA". It matches the Rfam family "Bacterial small subunit ribosomal RNA", at positions 524 to 776 of the family's 1533-position model. The record is from RNAcentral.